RNAcentral lists this ribosomal RNA (1127 nucleotides) under uncultured bacterium. RNAcentral's name for it is "bacterial SSU rRNA". It matches the Rfam family "Bacterial small subunit ribosomal RNA", at positions 281 to 1399 of the family's 1533-position model. The record is from RNAcentral.
GCGUAGCCGAGUUGAGAGACUGAUCGGCCACAAUGGAACUGAGACACGGUCCAUACUCCUACGGGAGGCAGCAGUAGGGAAUCUUCCACAAUGGGCGCAAGCCUGAUGGAGCAACACCGCGUGAGUGAAGAAGGGUUUCGGCUCGUAAAGCUCUGUUGUUAAAGAAGAACAUGCGUGAGAGUAACUGUUCACGCAUUGACGGUAUUUAACCAGAAAGUCACGGCUAACUACGUGCCAGCAGCCGCGGUAAUACGUAGGUGGCAAGCGUUAUCCGGAUUUAUUGGGCGUAAAGAGAGUGCAGGCGGUUUACUAAGUCUGAUGUGAAAGCCUUCGGCUUAACCGGAGAAGGGCAUCGGAAACUGGCUAACUUAAGUGCAGAAGAGGGUAGUGGAACUCCAUGUGUAGCGGUGGAAUGCGUAGAUAUAUGGAAGAACACCAGUGGCGAAGGCGGCUACCUGGUCUGUAACUGACGCUGAGACUCGAAAGCAUGGGUAGCGAACAGGAUUAGAUACCCUGGUAGUCCAUGCCGUAAACGAUGAGGGGUAGGUGUGGAGGGGUUCCCCCCCUCAGUGCGGGAGCUAACGCAUUAACCACUCCCGCCUGGGGAGUACGACCGCAAGGUUGAAACUCAAAGGAAUUGACGGGGGCCCGCACAAGCGGUGGAGCAUGUGGUGUAAUUCGAAGCUACGCGAAGAACCUUACCAGGGUUCUUGACAUCUUGCGCCAACCCUAGAGAUAGGGCGUUUCCUUCGGGAACGCAAUGACAGGUGGUGCAUGGUCGUCGUCAGCUCGUGUCGUGAGAUGUUGGGUUAAGUCCCGCAACGAGCGCAACCCUUGUUACUAGUUGCCAGCAUUCAGUUGGGCACUCUAGUGAGACUGCCGGUGACAAACCGGAGGAAGGUGGGGACGACGUCAGAUCAUCAUGCCCCUUAUGACCUGGGCUACACACGUGCUACAAUGGACGGUACAACGAGUCGCGAACUCGCGAGGGCAAGCAAAUCUCUGAAAACCGUUCUCAGUUCGGACUGCAGGCUGCAACUCGCCUGCACGAAGUCGGAAUCGCUAGUAAUCGCGGAUCAGCAUGCCGCGGUGAAUACGUUCCCGGGCCUUGCACACACCGCCCGUCA